This 87-nucleotide transfer RNA is filed under the name Thermoplasmata archaeon. RNAcentral's name for it is "tRNA-Ser". It matches the Rfam family "tRNA". Rfam says of the family: Transfer RNA (tRNA) molecules are approximately 80 nucleotides in length. Their secondary structure includes four short double-helical elements and three loops (D, anti-codon, and T loops). Further hydrogen bonds mediate the characteristic L-shaped molecular structure. tRNAs have two regions of fundamental functional importance: the anti-codon, which is responsible for specific mRNA codon recognition, and the 3' end, to which the tRNAs corresponding amino acid is attached (by aminoacyl-tRNA synthetases). tRNAs cope with the degeneracy of the genetic code in two manners: having more than one tRNA (with a specific anti-codon) for a particular amino acid; and 'wobble' base-pairing, i.e. permitting non-standard base-pairing at the 3rd anti-codon position. Lineage: Archaea; Methanobacteriati; Thermoplasmatota; Thermoplasmata. The record is from RNAcentral.
UCUUGGGUAGCCUAGCCAGGCCAAGGCGGUGGCCUCGAGAGCCACUGGUGCGUAAGCACCGCAAGGGUUCAAAUCCCUUCCCCAGCG